GCAAACGAAAGUAACUUUCGACGACCGAAUGAUCAUUCAGACUCUGUUUCUAUUGAGAGAUAAAAGGUAUGACAAUUGGGUACUUUUUCUACAACUGUCUAUGAUGAUCGGAGAGACAGGAGGCAGACUAAGAGCAAGGACAGCCACCUGAACUACUGCCCUAGAAAUA
This is a long non-coding RNA of Salmo salar (Atlantic salmon), 169 nucleotides long. RefSeq lists it as uncharacterized. The record is from RefSeq and is a predicted model, not a curated record. Lineage: Eukaryota; Metazoa; Chordata; Actinopteri; Salmoniformes; Salmonidae.